GAAACUGCGAACGGCUCAUUACACCAGCCUUAAUUUACUUGACCUUGACACCCUACUUGGAUAACUGUGGUAAUUCUAGAGCUAAUACAUGCACCAAAGCUCCAAUCUCCCCAGAGCGGAGCGCAUUUGUUCGCCACAAAACCAAGCGCCUCAGGGCGUUCAGUGUUGACUCAGAACAACUAAGCUGAUCGCACGGUCUUGCACCGGCGACGUGUCUUUCAAGUGUCUGCCUUAUCAACUUUCGAUGGUAGUGUAUCUGACUACCAUGGUGAUGACGGGUAACGGAGGAUAAGGGUUCGACUCCGGAGAAGGGGCCUGAGAAAUGGCCACUACGUCUAAGGAUGGCAGCAGGCGCGCAAAUUACCCACUCUCGACGCGAGGAGGUAGUGACGAGAAAUAACGAGACCGUUCUCAUCUGAGGCCGGUCAUCGGAAUGGGUACAAUUUAAACCCUUUAACGAGUAUCUAUGAGAGGGCAAGUCUGGUGCCAGCAGCCGCGGUAAUUCCAGCUCUCAAAAUGCAUAGAAUUAUUGCUGCGGUUAAAAAGCUCGUAGUUGGAUCUGUGCUGAGCGACCGGUCUGCCCACUGGGCACGCACUGGCUCGCCCGGCUUUCCCUGCCGGUCUCUCUCUGGCGUUGGUUUUAACCGGCUGGCGUCAGUGGGCUGGCGAGUUUACUUUGAACAAAUCAGAGUGCUUCAAACAGGCGUCUCGCCUGAAUGUUCGUGCAUGGAAUAAUAGAAGAGGAUCACGGUCCGAUUUUAUUGGUUUUGCUGACCGAGAUAAUGGUUAACAGAGACAAACGGGGCCAUUCGUAUUGCUACGUGAGAGGUGAAAUUCUUGGACCGUAGCAAGACGGACUACAGCGAAAGCAUUUGGCAAGAAUGUCUUCAUUAAUCAAGAACGAAAGUCAGAGGUUCGAAGGCGAUCAGAUACCGCCCUAGUUCUGACCGUAAACGAUGCCAACUAGCGAUCCGCCGGCGGAUUCAUUCGCCCUGGUGGGGAGCUUCCCGGAAACGAAAGUCUUCCGGUUCCGGGGGAAGUAUGGUUGCAAAGCUGAAACUUAAAGGAAUUGACGGAAGGGCACCACCAGGAGUGGAGCCUGCGGCUUAAUUUGACUCAACACGGGGAAACUCACCCGGCCCGGACACCGUAAGGAUUGACAGAUUGAUAGCUUUUUCAUGAUUCGGUGGAUGGUGGUGCAUGGCCGUUCUUAGUUCGUGGAGCGAUUUGUCUGGUUUAUUCCGAUAACGAGCGAGACUCUGGCCUACUAAAUAGUUGGCACAUUGCCACCGUGUGCCCAACUUCUUAGAGGGAUUUUCGGUGUUCAGCCGCACGAAAUUGAGCAAUAACAGGUCUGUGAUGCCCUUAGAUGUCCGGGGCUGCACGCGCGCUACACUGGCAAAAUCAGCGUGCUUGUCCUCCCCCGAAAGGGGUUGGUAAACCGAUGAAAAUUUGCCGUGAUUGGGAUCGGACAUUGCAAUUAUUGUCCGUGAACGAGGAAUCCCUUGUAAGGGCGAGUCAUCAACUCGUCCUGAAUACGUCCCUGCCCUUUGUACACACCGCCUCGCUGCCCGGGACUGAGCCAUUUCGAGAAAACCGGGGAUUGUUGGCCUGACGGCUCUCGGGUCGUCUAGCCGAUGAGAACCGGCUUAAUCGCACUGGUUUGAACCGGGCAAAAGUCGUAACAAGGUAGCUGGUAGGUGAACCUGCAGCUGGAUCA
This 1720-nucleotide ribosomal RNA is filed under the name Rotylenchulus reniformis. RNAcentral's name for it is "SSU rRNA". It matches the Rfam family "Eukaryotic small subunit ribosomal RNA". The record is from RNAcentral. Lineage: Eukaryota; Metazoa; Nematoda; Chromadorea; Rhabditida; Hoplolaimidae.